Molecule: ribosomal RNA, 489 nt
Filed under: uncultured bacterium
Lineage: Bacteria
Description: partial 16S ribosomal RNA
Rfam family: Bacterial small subunit ribosomal RNA
Source: RNAcentral
GAUGAACGCUAGCUACAGGCUUAACACAUGCAAGUCGAGGGGCAGCAUGAUUGAAGCUUGCUUCAAUCGAUGGCGACCGGCGCACGGGUGAGUAACACGUAUCCAACCUGCCGAUAACUCGGGGAUAGCCUUUCGAAAGAAAGAUUAAUACCCGAUAGUAUAGUAUUUCCGCAUGGUUUCACUAUUAAAGAACUUCGGUUAUCGAUGGGGAUGCGUUCCAUUAGAUAGUUGGCGGGGUAACGGCCCACCAAGUCAACGAUGGAUAGGGGUUCUGAGAGGAAGGUCCCCCACAUUGGAACUGAGACACGGUCCAAACUCCUACGGGAGGCAGCAGUGAGGAAUAUUGGUCAAUGGACGAGAGUCUGAACCAGCCAAGUAGCGUGAAGGAUGACUGCCCUAUGGGUUGUAAACUUCUUUUAUACGGGAAUAAAGUGGAGUAGGCAUACUCCUUUGUAUGUACCGUAUGAAUAAGGAUCGGCUAACUACGUG